GAUGAAGAACGUAGCGAAAUGCGAUAAGUAAUGUGAAUUGCAGAAUUCAGUGAAUCAUCGAAUCUUUGAACGCACAUUGCGCCCCUUGGUAUUCCGGGGGGCAUGCCUGUUCGAGCGUCAUUAUAACCCCUCAAGCUCAGCUUGGUGUUGGGGCCUGCCGACUGGCAGCCCUUAAAAUCAGUGGCGGCGCCAUCUGGCUCUAAGCGUAGUAAUUUCUCUCGCUAUAGAGUCCCGGUGGAUGCUUGCCAGCAACCCCCAACUUUCUAUGGUUGACCUCGGAUCAGGUAGGGAUACCCGCUGAACUUAAGCAUAUCAAUAAGCGGAGG
This 326-nucleotide unclassified non-coding RNA is filed under the name soil metagenome. Its description in RNAcentral is "partial contains 5.8S ribosomal RNA, internal transcribed spacer 2, and large subunit ribosomal RNA". The stretch from base 1 to 120 matches the Rfam family "5.8S ribosomal RNA", at positions 35 to 154 of the family's 154-position model. The record is from RNAcentral.